This 4752-nucleotide long non-coding RNA is filed under the name Brassica napus (rape). RNAcentral's name for it is "long non-coding RNA (BNAP_LNC024902)". The record is from RNAcentral. Lineage: Eukaryota; Viridiplantae; Streptophyta; Magnoliopsida; Brassicales; Brassicaceae.
CAGCAAUGAUGAGUGUGGAUCCAAGUGUGAUGCACAGAUCCGGUUCCUUAAGAGGUUCAAAGGAGCGGCUCAGAUUCUCGAGAAAGGAGGAUACACUCGCUUCACUCCCCACUACAUCACCUGGUACUGUCCUGAAGCGUUUCUAGCAAGCAGACAAUGCAAAUCGCAAUGCAUCAACGGAGGAAGGUAUUGUGCUCCUGACCCUGAGCAAGAUUUCUCCAGAGGAUACAACGGGAGAGACGUGAUCAUUCAGAAUUUACGCCAAGCUUGCUUCUUUAGGGUGAUGAAUGAAAGUGGAAAGCCUUGGAUUUGGUGGGAUUAUGUCACCGACUUCGCCAUCCGUUGUCCCAUGAAACACGAAAAGUACAACAAACAAUGCGCCGAUCAAGUUAUUCGCUCGCUUGGUAUUAACCAACUUCUUAUUCUAUUACAUAUAUAUAUAUAUAUAUAUAUAUAUAUAUCUGUCUUUUUUUUUUUAUCAUCUCUCGACAUAUGUCUUUCGAGAAGGAGUCGAUGUGAAUAAAAUUGACAAAUGCAUUGGAGACAUCGAAGCAAACACUGAGAGCCCUGUUCUCAGAGAUGAACAAGAAGCACAAGUGAGCCCUCUCUCUCCCUCUCUCUCUCUCUCUCUCUCUUUUCACAAAUAUAAGCCUUCUAACUAUUGAUUGCUAAUUUUGUUCAAGGUUGGGAAAGGUUCGCGAGGAGAUGUGACAAUACUACCAACUAUUGUGAUAAACAACAGACAAUACAGAGGUGACAAGCAAGGAAGUUCUUCGGUUUUAACAUUAUUAACUGGUUCGGUUUUUAUUUAAUAUUUUAUUAUCACAGGGAAGUUGGAGAGAUCUGCGGUGCUUAAGGCCCUUUGCUCAGGGUUCCGCGAGACGACUGAGCCACCCAUAUGCUUAACCGAAGGUCCUCUCUACUUCCUGUACAUAUCUCUAUUUGAUAUACCACUAGUUUUAACGUAUGGUUCUGGAUUCUGUGAUUGCGCAGACAUAGAAACCAACGAGUGUUUACAAAACAAUGGAGGGUGUUGGGAGGAUAAGACUACCAACAUUACAGCUUGCAGGGUAUGUAACAUAUUUAAAGAUAUUUUCUUGUUUUGUUAUAGUUAUGCUACAUAUCUACGUGUAUGUUUCAGUAAAAGGAGUAUCAUUCUUGCAGGACACUUUCAGAGGAAGAGUAUGUCAAUGUCCCAUUGUUCAAGGUGUCAAGUUUUUGGGUGAUGGUUACACACAUUGUGAAGGUAAAAAAAAUGCUCAAAUUUAUGUUAUGAUUAACUUAAUGAUAUUUUUCACAUGUUUAAAUUUCUAUAUUGCAGCGUCGGGGGCAUUGCGUUGUGGGAUAAACAAUGGAGGAUGCUGGAAACAUACCCAAAUGGGAAGAACAUAUUCGGCUUGCCGUGUAAUAUGUCAUACCUCAAAACUAACUAAUUUCCAUCCUCUGUUUAAACAUUCCCUCUCUUUCUAUAUAUUUGACUUACAAUGAUUGCUUCUUACGUUUUAUUUUUGUUGUUGUUGCUGUUGUUCAGGAUGAUCAUUCGAAAGGCUGCAAAUGUCCACCUGGAUUCAAGGGAGAUGGGCUGAAAAACUGCGAAGGUAUUCUUUGAAUAGAUUAUACAUAUGAAAUAUAAGAGCUUGAACUAAAAACUAAAACCCCCCACAUGUUGUUGAUGUGUUAUAAAUACAGAUGUGAAUGAGUGUGAAGAGAAAACGGCGUGCCAGUGUCGCGGCUGCAAAUGCAAGAACACAUGGGGAAGCUAUGAAUGCAGCUGCAGCGGAAGCCUACUUUACAUCAGAGAGCACGACAUUUGCAUAAGUAUGUAUUCAUCACAUAAUUCUUGAAACCAGAAAAAGUGUCAGAUCAUCAAGGGGAUAAAAAUUAAAUUUUACUAUGCAUUUAGGUAAGGAUGCAAGAGGAGACGUAAGCUGGGGGGUGAUAUGGAUAAUACUAAUGGGUUUGGGAGCAGCUGCUUUGGGAGCUUACACGGUUUACAAAUACAGAAUCCGGGUAUGCUUAUUAGAACAUACUUGUUCAAUAUUUGAAUUAAGUUGGUAUAACUCUGAUAAAUUAAUUUUAUUAUGUGGUUAAUAUUUUUAAUAAAAAUAAUUAUAUACUUUUAAUAAAGAUUUAUACUUUUCAACGAAAAAAUCAAUUUUUUUUAUGAAUGCUUAAAUUAUAUUAAGAAAAAAAUAAUAAUUAAGAAUGGUUGAAAAAAAAUUAUUUGAACUUGGACUCAAUGGCCCAAAGGAAAAAAAAUGUGAGAAUUGGACUUGAUUUCUUAAUCGGCCCAAAUGACCCAAGAGAGAUCUGAUGUGGACAGUGGGCUGGAUCCGAAAAAAAUAGCCCAAUAUAAAUGUGUUAAUAAUAUUACUUGAUUGCCCUUAAUGAAACAUGCAAUGUUAGUAAAAAAAGGACAGACUAAGGUAAAAAGCACAAUAAGAUCAUGCUUUAAUAGUAUAGAUAUAUUUGAGACUUAUGUAUAUAAUAUCAAAAAAAAAAAAAAUAGGCUGAUAACACAUGAUAAAAUCCAAAGAAAUUAAUAUGAUCCACCCCCCUCGUUACUCGUUCUUUAAGUAAAACAAAUAUAUUUUAUAUAUUAUAAGUUCAACAAAAUAUGGGGAUCAAACAACAAAAGUUUAUGAUUUUAAGGAGCUAACCAACAUUCAAAUCUAUGUUUGUUCAUAUGGUGUUAUUAUAUAUAUAAGGUAUCAUGGUUUGUUCGAUUUGAUAUGUGUAAAGAUGUUUGACCAAAUAAAUGGUCCACAGGUUCGGGUACUCGGAAGACCGCGUUUCAUAAAAAGAGGGACGUACUUUCGUCCGAUUAUUCUAAUAGUGAACGGGAAAUUAGUAUUUAUCGAAAUUGCUUAAAAAAUAGUAAUUAAUACUUAUUAAAAAAAUCUAUACAUGUUAGGGCAUGUGCAUCGUAGCUUUUUUAGGAGGGACCACAAAAAGAUAAAAAUAGAUAAUCAAAAGCGCCAAUUAAAGAUCGUUGUUUGAGUGAUCUUUGUACUGUUUCGAGGAUCUCACGACACGUGACGGCCUGCGAUUGAUUCUUUUUUUUUUUUAUAAAUCAGAUAAGACAGAAAAAAAAAUAAUUUAGAAACUCAUUUUGGAUUUCACCCGAUAAUCAUGGUUUUAUAUUUAAAACCCUACUACCACUACUACAACUACAAAAUGGAAAUAAAAGGGAUCGAAAAGGCUUUCUUGGAUAAGGCAUAUACGUUGCUUACAAGGGAUAAGGCAUAUACAACUUUGAGAAAAAGAAAUAUGGGUCUAAUAUAUAUAUAUAUUCAGAAGAAAAGACCCAUAAAUUAGGUUAUUAGCCCCAAAUCGCGUCAGUGUGUUUAUUGCCACGUCAAAACCAGGAGAAAGCGGAAGAUAUAUUUGAUCUGAGAGUUAGUUUGACAGUUUCAAUUUCUUUUUAUGGGAAAGCGAAGCUAAAGUGAAAGAGAGAAAAUAGAAAGCUUAGCCAAUAUUAGAAAUCAAACUGAGAAAUGUAUCUAUCGGGUGGGAUGAUGAUGAAGAAUGUAAGAUUAUAUGUAACGGGAUGGGUGAUGGUGUGGUGGUGGUGGUGGGGUUCGUGCAUGGGGAGGUUCGUGGUUGAGAAGAAUAGCCUCCGAGUGACUUCACCCGAGUCCAUCAGAGGAAUCUAUGAAUGCGCCCUUGGCAACUUUGGUGUUCCUCAGUACGGCGGAAGCAUGUCUGGCUCCGUUGUUUACCCCAAAGCUAACCAGAAGGCUUGCAAGAACUUUGAGGAUUUCGACAUCUCUUUCAGAUCUAGAGUCGCUGGAUUGCCCACAUUCGUUCUCGUCGAUCGAGGAGGUCCCCAAUUCCUUUCUCUCUUUUUUAGAUUCACAUGAAAACUAGGAUGACUUGCUACGCAAGGAACCGAUGACUCACCUGGUUAUUUGUUGUGAUUUUGGUCCCUCCCCCAGAUUGUUACUUCACCUUGAAGGCCUGGAACGCGCAACGAGCUGGUGCUGCGACAAUAUUGGUGGCGGAUAACAGGCCGGAGCCACUCAUAACCAUGGACGCCCCAGAGGACGAAACGGCAGAUGCGGAAUACCUGCAGAACAUCACGAUUCCUUCAGCGCUGUUGAGCAGAUCUCUAGGGAGCGCCAUCAAAACGGCCAUAGAUCAAGGAGAACCCGUCCGUAUAAGUCUGGACUGGCGGGAAGCUCUUCCACACCCGAACGACCGAGUAGCCUACGAGCUAUGGACCAACAGCAAUGAUGAGUGCGGAUCCAAGUGUGAUGCACAGAUCCGGUUCCUUAAGAGGUUCAAAGGAGCGGCUCAGAUUCUCGAGAAAGGAGGAUACACUCGCUUCACUCCCCACUACAUCACCUGGUAUUGUCCGGAAGCGUUUCUGGCAAGCAGACAAUGCAAAUCGCAAUGCAUCAACGGAGGAAGGUACACGGCCAUAGAUCAAGGAGAACCCGUCCGUAUAAGUCUGGACUGGCGGGAGGCUCUUCCACACCCGAACGACCGAGUAGCCUACGAGCUAUGGACCAACAGCAAUGAUGAGUGUGGAUCCAAGUGUGAUGCACAGAUCCGGUUCCUUAAGAGGUUCAAAGGAGCGGCUCAGAUUCUCGAGAAAGGAGGAUACACUCGCUUCACUCCCCACUACAUCACCUGGUACUGUCCUGAAGCGUUUCUAGCAAGCAGACAAUGCAAAUCGCAAUGCAUCAACGGAGGAAGGUAUUGUGCUCCUGACCCUGAGCAAGAUUUCUCCAGAGGAUACAACGGGAG